GCAAGUCGAGGGGCAGCACGAGAGCUUGCUCUUGGUGGCGACCGGCGCACGGGUGCGUAACGCGUAUGCAACCUACCCUAUACAGGGAGAUAGCCCAGAGAAAUUUGGAUUAAUAUCCCAUAAUGUUAUAAUACAGCAUUGUAUAAUAAUUAAAGAUUUAUCGGUAUAGGAUGGGCAUGCGUAUGAUUAGCUAGUUGGUGAGGUAAUGGCUCACCAAGGCAAUGACGCUUAACUGGUUUGAGAGGAUGAUC
Molecule: ribosomal RNA, 251 nt
Filed under: uncultured bacterium
Lineage: Bacteria
Description: partial 16S ribosomal RNA
Rfam family: Bacterial small subunit ribosomal RNA
Source: RNAcentral